AAACAAAAAAAAAAAAAAAAAACACCCUAACCUAACAUUCUAGCAGAAAUGAAAAAAUAAAACUGAGGCUUCCCCCUUUUUCGCCGCUCUAUUCAUCAAUCCUUCCAAAGGAUCUCUGAACCCCUGCCCAGGCUCCGAUGACGACGGAGAGAGCAAGGAUUCGUCGGCAAGGUACGCUCCUCACCCUUCUCUCCUCUUUUACUUUAUCUAUCUGCUCAUAUAUUCUAAUGGUAAACAAAAAGAAAGAAAAAGAAUCGGAAAACAGAAAAAAUGGAAAAAAGAAAACCUUUCGUGUUCUUUUGUAUUCAGUAUGUCUUCUUUUUUUUGUUUUUACAAUAUGCCUCUCCCCUCCUCAAUACAAAAUGAUUGGCUUUUUAUAUAUAGCCGGAUUUUACAGAAAACAAAAAGAAAAAUCCCCCAUCGAAUCCCUUUUUUAUUCCUUUUAUUUUAUGCUAUUUUUGCUGUCGUUUUCUGCUUUCUUGCGUUCGUUGUGUCUUUUGCAGGUGUACGGGCGUACGAGGGGCAGCUGGGACGUGGCGCGGCUCGUGUGAAGGCGUGGUCCCUGGCGGUGGCGCACGCGCGAGGGCAGAGGCUGGGUAUGCGUGGAGGAGUUGGGGCUGCGGCGCUCUGAACGCCUAGGGUUUCUGAUGUUUAGGCAAGUCUGGGGCUAGGUGAUUUGGGUUGGGGUUAGGUGUCGGGCUAGUGUUUGGGUAGUUUAGGUUAAAAGUGGUUUGGGCCAUUCGGGUUUGUUGUUGUUUGUAAUCUGGACAUUGUUUAUUUUAUCUGGUUUAUGGGCUGGGCAAAAAUGGCCUACUACAAUCACCAUCAUAUAACUAUUGAGAAAAGCGUCAGACAAAAGUAAACUAAACGUGCUACAUCACACUGUCUAUCUAAUCCGCCCGAAAAAUGAGGCCGGCUGAAGAGGAGUGAAGGAAUAAGGUCUUUGCAAAGUUGGUUGAAAUAAAAUUGCUUAAUAAACAUUAAUAAAUAAAUUUAAGAAAAUAAUACAACCCAAUAAAUUAAUUUAUAUUUUAAUUUAAUAUUAAUAAAAUCAAUUAUAAUU
Molecule: long non-coding RNA, 1063 nt
Filed under: Gossypium raimondii (Peruvian cotton)
Lineage: Eukaryota; Viridiplantae; Streptophyta; Magnoliopsida; Malvales; Malvaceae
Description: long non-coding RNA (GRAI_LNC003374)
Source: RNAcentral